This 301-nucleotide unclassified non-coding RNA is filed under the name Hevea brasiliensis (rubber tree). The record is from RNAcentral. Lineage: Eukaryota; Viridiplantae; Streptophyta; Magnoliopsida; Malpighiales; Euphorbiaceae.
GUUCGUCCGCUGGUGCCUAUAACUGUGUCUUUCUCCCAUUCAUAUAUUCAUAAAUCGUGCUCUCACGGCUCCCUUUCUCUAUUUAUCAUUGCUAGAACCUGUGAAUUGCUUGUUUUGACUGAAACCCUAGGGUUUUAAUCGGUCCCGCUCGUCGGAUCGAAUUUCAAUAAUCAGUUUCGUGACAUCCCUUAGUCUCUCAGAAAAUGCCAUCAGUGUACGGUGCACGGUUGACAACCUUUGAAGAUUCCGAGAAGGAGAGCGAGUACGGUUACGUUCGUAAGGUAUCUGGACCAGUUGUGGU